AGGACAUCGGCUGAAGAGCCAGCUCGGUGCACUGUAGUUCAAGAAGUAUGCAAACAAACAGAGGACAGUGCAGAGGGCAACAAGAAUGAGGACUGGGAAUGAGACUGGGAAGGCUUGUUUAUGCUGAAGAAAAGAAGGCAGAAGGAAGACAUGCUAAGAGUCUUCAUAUACUUGAAAGACCAUUGCAAAGAGAAAGGGAAUAAUCUGUCAUGGUGGGUAGAGUAAGAGACGCAGGCCCAUGUGCUUACACCUGUGCUGAUCAACAUACUCAUAACUGAUGUGGAAAAGGAGCUUUUGCGUGGGAUGGUGGGAGAAAGACUCACGUAGGAGACGAGGCCGGUGAAUCCACACUUGGAUUAUGAAUCAUUGCUUCUUGACUUAAUUUCUCAAGGAAAUAAGGUUCAAAGGCCAGUGCAACUCACAGAUGAAUCAAGGUGUAAGAGUUUCCCAUAUCUCCUGCGACAUGAAGGGCUGGGCACCUGGACUUCUAUUCAAGCAGCUUUAGCCCAGCUCUCAUUUCUGCUGGCUUUUCUUCCUAUCCUUCCCCAGGUCACUCUGUGUGGGCACCCUUUAGCAUAUGCAAAGAGACUCUGCAAGCAGGACGUACCCAAUCCCGAGGAACAAAGCAACAAUUUAUUGGCUCACAGGC
This 649-nucleotide long non-coding RNA is filed under the name Struthio camelus australis. RNAcentral describes it as "lncRNA (ENSSCUG00000017159.1)". The record is from RNAcentral. Lineage: Eukaryota; Metazoa; Chordata; Aves; Struthioniformes; Struthionidae.